Molecule: long non-coding RNA, 1793 nt
Filed under: Salmo salar (Atlantic salmon)
Lineage: Eukaryota; Metazoa; Chordata; Actinopteri; Salmoniformes; Salmonidae
Description: lncRNA (ENSSSAG00000120125.1)
Source: RNAcentral
CAGCUUUGAUGCACCUGUGCUGAGUCACCUGUGCUGAGUCACCUGUGCUGAGUCACCUGUAACCAGGAACAGGGUUGGAGUUAAAGCCUCGUGGAGAACCCUGUGUUAGCGUGUUCUUCACAUGUUGGUGUGUUAAAGAGCAGAACCUUACACACUCCUCUACUGUAGCCCUCUGCUCUCUACAUCUCUCUCUCUGUCUCUCUCUCUCUCUCUCUGUCUCUUCCUGUCUCUCUCUCUGUCUCUCUGUCUCUUCCUGUCUCUCUCUCUGUCUCUCUGUCUCUUCCUGUCUCUCUCCCUCUCUGUCUCUCUCCCUCUCUGUCUCUCUCUCUGUCUCUCUCUCUCUCUGUCUCUUCCUGUCUCUCUCCCUCUCUGUCUCUCUCUCUCUCUCUGUCUCUUCCUGUCUCUGUCUCUCUCUUUCGCUCUCUCUCUAUCUCUCUUCCUCUCUCUCUCUGUCUGUCUCUCUCUCUCUCUCUCUCAGGCUUCAUAAUUACACCCAGUCAUGAUAACCCCUUUCCCUCUCUCUCAUCCCCCCCCCCCCCAUCAUUAAUACAGUAUUCCAUCUCUUCCUGGGAUUAUCUCACCUUUAAUAGUGUAAAGCUGCUUUGUGUUGCUGCUGAAUGGUUGAACGGGAGGGGAAAGUGAAAGCCUCUUUAGUUGAAAGGAAAGGUGGAGGGAGGUAAAGGGAGGGAGGGUAGUUAUUAGUGUCUACUGAGGGUUUAAGCCCUGGAUUGUCAACCCCCUGUCCUCUCCUACAGAACAAUAGAGACCUAUAGGGACAGAUAGAGGCCUCAGCUCACACUGAAACAUGUCUCAGAAGGUAAAUCAUCCUGCUCACACUGGAGCAGGCUGGUUGGACUCUGGCAGGGUUUGGCAAUGGGACUGAACACGUGAUUUAUCAGGGGCAGUGAAUAUGUAUAUGCACCCUUGUGUGUGUGUGUGUGUGUGUGUGUGUGUGUGUGUGUGUGUGUGUGUGUGUGUGUGUGUGUGUGUGUGUGUGUGUGUGUGUGUGUGUGUGUGUGUGUGUGUGUGAGAGAGAGUCUAGAGACAGAUAUUGAAGUAUGAGCCAUUGGGCUUUCAUGAAACAUGCAAGGACCUGAGCAGUGUGUCUGUGAUUGAUUCCUAAUGGGAAAGGCGGAUGACUGAGAGAUACACAGGUCUGUUUGUAUUGGAGCACCAGAGAGGAUCAGAUACAGGAAAAGGAAGAGAUACACAGGUCUGUUUGUGUUGGAGGACCAGAGAGGAUCAGAUACAGGAAAAGGAAGAGAUACACAGGUCUGUUUGUAUUGGAGGACCAGAGAGGAUCAGAUACAGGAAAAGGAAGAGAUACACAGGUCUGUUUGUAUUGGAGGACCAGAGAGGAUCAGAUACAGGAAAAGGAAGAGAUACACAGGUCUGUUUGUAUUGGAGGAUCAGAUACAGGAAAAGGAAGAGAUACGCAGGUCUGUUUGUGUUGGAGGAUCAGAGAGGAUCAGAUACAGGAAAAGGAAGAGAUACGCAGGUCUGUUUGUGUUGGAGGAUCAGAGAGGAUCAGAUACAGGAAAAGGAAGAGAUACGCAGAGUAUUUUUGUCUCUCUCUCUCGUCUGACUAAUUUACCCGGUGUCCUUUCAGCCUGUCACUCCCCCUGCGACGUCACAUUUAGUGGCACAUCAGAAAGCCGGGAGGAGAGAGAGGAGAGGAAGUAGCGAGGGAAAGGACAAAAUGGAGCACUUUUCACUAGCGAGCCCUUAAAGAUAUAAUUACCUGUCUUUGGAGUUGAGGAAGAGAAAAUGAUGAGCGCCAAAAUAGAUCAUGG